GACGAACGCUGGCGGCGUGCCUAAUACAUGCAAGUAGAACGCUGAAGGAAGGAGCUUGCUCUUUCUGGAUGAGUUGCGAACGGGUGAGUAACGCGUAGGUAACCUGCCUGGUAGCGGGGGAUAACUAUUGGAAACGAUAGCUAAUACCGCAUGAAAUGGAUUAUCGCAUGAUAAUUCAUUGAAAGGUGCGAAUGCAUCACUACCAGAUGGACCUGCGUUGUAUUAGCUAGUUGGUGGGGUAACGGCUCACCAAGGCGACGAUACAUAGCCGACCUGAGAGGGUGAUCGGCCACACUGGGACUGAGACACGGCCCAGACUCCUACGGGAGGCAGCAGUAGGGAAUCUUCGGCAAUGGGGGGAACCCUGACCGAGCAACGCCGCGUGAGUGAAGAAGGUUUUCGGAUCGUAAAGCUCUGUUGUUAAGGAAGAACGAGUGUGAGAAUGGAAAGUUCAUACUGUGACGGUACUUAACCAGAGAGGGACGGCUAACUACGUGC
RNAcentral lists this ribosomal RNA (498 nucleotides) under uncultured Streptococcus sp. RNAcentral describes it as "bacterial SSU rRNA". It matches the Rfam family "Bacterial small subunit ribosomal RNA", at positions 28 to 508 of the family's 1533-position model. Lineage: Bacteria; Bacillati; Bacillota; Bacilli; Lactobacillales; Streptococcaceae. The record is from RNAcentral.